UGUGUGUGUGUGUGUGUGUGAA
This 22-nucleotide microRNA is filed under the name Mus musculus (house mouse). RNAcentral describes it as "piRNA piR-mmu-49110230". The record is from RNAcentral. RNAcentral also lists the same sequence under 1 other name. Lineage: Eukaryota; Metazoa; Chordata; Mammalia; Rodentia; Muridae.